GUAGGUGAACCUGCGGAAGGAUCAUUAACACGUUUAGUUCCAAACGUUUUUGACCCGACCUUUUUUUUCCGUGAACACAAAACAUAAAUCUUGGCUCCUGUGUGGAUUUGUCUGCAAAGACUUUUUCACUCGGGAACACGUCUCGUCUUCGGAUGGGACGUGGGCCACCACACCCAACCUUGAAUCUAAUUGUUCUGAACUCUUAGUUGUGAUGGCUUCACGGCCGUUUCAACGAUUAUAAAAUAAACAACAACUCUUAACAACGGAUAUCUUGGUUCUC
RNAcentral lists this unclassified non-coding RNA (280 nucleotides) under rhizosphere metagenome. RNAcentral describes it as "partial ribosomal RNA internal transcribed spacer region". The record is from RNAcentral.